GAUGAACGCUGGCGGCGUGCCUAAUACAUGCAAGUCGAGCGAACAGAUAAGGAGCUUGCUCCUUUGACGUUAGCGGCGGACGGGUGAGUAACACGUGGAUAACCUACCUAUAAGACUGGGAUAACUUCGGGAAACCGGAGCUAAUACCGGAUAACAUAUUGAACCGCAUGGUUCAAUAGUGAAAGGCGGCUUUGCUGUCACUUAUAGAUGGAUCCGCGCCGUAUUAGCUAGUUGGUAAGGUAACGGCUUACCAAGGCAACGAUACGUAGCCGACCUGAGAGGGUGAUCGGCCACACUGGAAUUGAGACACGGUCCAGACUCCUACGGGAGGCAGCAGUAGGGAAUCUUCCGCAAUGGGCGAAAGCCUGACGGAGCAACGCCGCGUGAGUGAUGAAGGUCUUCGGAUCGUAAAACUCUGUUAUCAGGGAAGAACAAAUGUGUAAGUAACUGUGCACAUCUUGACGGUACCUGAUCAGAAAGCCACGGCUAACUACGUG
RNAcentral lists this ribosomal RNA (497 nucleotides) under uncultured bacterium. Its description in RNAcentral is "partial 16S ribosomal RNA". It matches the Rfam family "Bacterial small subunit ribosomal RNA", at positions 28 to 507 of the family's 1533-position model. The record is from RNAcentral.